This 1047-nucleotide long non-coding RNA is filed under the name Numida meleagris (helmeted guineafowl). RNAcentral's name for it is "lncRNA (ENSNMEG00000012600.1)". The record is from RNAcentral. Lineage: Eukaryota; Metazoa; Chordata; Aves; Galliformes; Numididae.
CCGGUGAGCGGUGAGAAGGGAGAGCCGCCGGAGCCUCCGUGAGCCGGGGGGAGACUCAGCACCUGGGCGCUGAACAGCUCCACGGAGCGCCACAGGCGGGGCCGGCGCCGCGCUCCCCGCCCCUGGGCGCGGGAGGGCCGCGCCGCCCUCCCCCCCCCUCGCCUGGCUACGCGCCUCUGCGGCCGCCCCGCCCCGCGCCCGCCUCAGGCGGGGACCCGGCCCGCGGGCGGUGGCCGAGCAGAAGGGCGGGAGUGACCACGCUUCCCAGGCGGCCUCGCGGUGCGAGAGGCGGCCCCGCUCCCGAGGGCUGCGGGGAGAUGUAGUCCUGGCGCGUGCGGAGCGCGGAGGGGCUCGGCUGGGUGGCGCCGCGCCGGGAGGGGGCGCUUUGAGAUUUAGUCUUUGCUUCUUAAUCUGGUCAGAGGCGGAGUACAAAUGAAUGCAGUUCACCAAAGAAACAAUCAAUACUGAAAGUAUUCACCGAGUUAGCACUUCUGGUAAGUUAUUUAGUCUUUCACUUUGUCAAUGUAUCUUUGGGCAAAACUAAGCUCUAACAGGAAAUGUGCUCCCAACAGCUUCUUGUAACAUGCUAAGCAAUUGAUGAACAUACAAGAUAUUUCUUCUAAAAUAUCUAUUAAAAGUGUAUGUUCAUAUAUUGUAUAUGUUUUUAUAUAUAGGUAUUAUAUGCAACUAUUUAUGACUAGAGAAAACUAGAAUUUGGGUGCAACUCCUUGGAUGUGAAGCAGAGGCAGCAAACAGUUUCUCUGAGUUACCAAAGUACAGUAAUCAUUCAGAAUUGCAAGGAAGAGGUAGAUUGUCUGUGGAGUGCUGGGACCGUGGCUCUGUAAGGAAGGAGGCUGGAGUGGGACAAUAUAUAUCUAAAAAGGCAGCAGUGAGUAUGAGGAAGUAGAAGGAGGUCCAUAUGGGAAAAACAGUCCAUCAAACAUGCCUGUGCUAAGUGAAAUCUUACAUGCUUGGUUGUUUUAUUUCUUUCCAAGUAUAUCAGAUCAUCUGAUUGGAUAACAAUCAGAUAAAAAAAGUCUUCUUUUA